UUCCGAGAUAAUUUGGUCUCAAAACAGCAAGAUCAACAAAAGAUAGCUUCGGGGAACUGGUGGUCCAGCCCGGAGUCUAAUUAAUGAGACUCUGAGCCGCCUCUCAGGCCCCCACAGAGUUCUGCCAUCUCCCACGCUGGCCCUCGGGAGGGACAGAGCCUCCAAGGUCGAUCAUUGACUUGCGCUAGGUCCAGGCCUGGUGGCACCGUUCAGUAAACUGCCUCCCCGCGAGGGGAGGCGCAGGGUCCCGCGGGUGGGAGGGCUUUUCACGAAACCCAGAAUGCUGGUUGCCAAAGCUCUCUGCCCCUCGACUUUUGAAUCCCUGGAUAAUUCCCUGGAAAGUAAUCUGGAUGUUCCUGAUUCAAGUAUAGUUCAGUCCAUGCCAUUGUUGUUUUCCGAAGACACUGAAGUGAUGAUUUCGUCUCUAUCCAGCCCAGACUCCUGUAAGUCAGACUUCCAAAGGUCACCUUUGUCUGAUGUGAAGCCGAACUUGUUCUGUCCUCGGCUUGCCAACUUUUCUCUCUUAUGCCUUGUUAGACUGCAAGAAGGCAGGAGGCAUCCUGGCAUCCUCAUCUGGGACCCAGCCACACUGCCGGCCCCUGUGCUGAAAGACUGGGACCCCAUAGGAAGAAGAGAAACAUAUCACUGAGAAAAUGUGAAAUGGUUUAAAUGUCUUGCCUACUCCCCGGAAGCAUGAUGAAAUGUAUGUUUGGUCUCAUAAUCUUAACAUUUGUGCUUGACACAAAUCAUAGCAACAAGGACCACAGUGACUUCUUCAGAGCACUUACUUUAUGCUGGGGACGGUGGUGGACUGGUGGUACGAAUUGCAUCGUUUAAUCAUUUCAGUAAUUCUGCUCAGAAAACUGAGACUCUGGAUUGAAAUGAUUGUUCCAAGGCCCCCUCAGGUAACACGUAGACUGGAACUGUGUCUCUUGUUCUUGGUGCUGGGUGGAACCCAGGACUUCGAGAAUCUAAACCCAUGCCCUAGCUCUGAGCCACCCUCCACCUCCACCCCUCUGUGCGUCUUUUUGCAAAAUCUGCAUUAGUCUAUACUAAUGGUGCAGACAUUAAAGACAGAGGGCACGGGUCCUAAGGUGAGCCAGAACUGGCAUCUGUGCCCGGCUUGGUCUGGUCCGGCGCAACACCCGUGUUUUAGCACGGUCGAGUUUGCAUGAUUAAUAAGUCAAUGCCUGAGACUUAAUGCCGAAUGGAUUUGCCCUCAUCAUGUUUCCCCAAAUGGA
Molecule: long non-coding RNA, 1241 nt
Filed under: Fukomys damarensis (Damara mole-rat)
Lineage: Eukaryota; Metazoa; Chordata; Mammalia; Rodentia; Bathyergidae
Description: lncRNA (ENSFDAG00000026026.1)
Source: RNAcentral